Molecule: ribosomal RNA, 465 nt
Filed under: uncultured bacterium
Lineage: Bacteria
Description: partial 16S ribosomal RNA
Rfam family: Bacterial small subunit ribosomal RNA
Source: RNAcentral
CUACGGGUGGCACCAGUGAGGAAUUUUGCGCAAUGGGCGAAAGCCUGACGCAGCAACGCCGCGUGAGUGAUGAAGGCCUUCGGGUCGUAAAGCUCUGUCAAGUGGGAAGAACCUAUGUAAUGUUAAUAUCAUUAUAUACUGACGGUACCACUGAAGGAGGCACCGGCUAACUCCGUGCCAGCAGCCGCGGUAAUACGGGGGGUGCAAGCGUUAUUCGGAAUCAUUGGGCGUAAAGGGCACGUAGGCGGCCUGGUAAGUCAGGUGUGAAAGCCCGGGGCUUAACCCCGGAAGUGCAUUUGAUACUGUCAGGCUGGAGUAUGGGAGAGGGAAGUGGAAUUCCUGGUGUAGAGGUGAAAUUCGUAGAUAUCAGGAGGAACACCGGUGGCGAAGGCGACUUCCUGGACCAAUACUGACGCUGAGGUGCGAAGGCGUGGGUAGCAAACAGGAUUAGAUACCCCUGUAGUC